AUGCCUUAAACUUAUGAAUAAGGAAAAUAACAAUUUGGGGUGAGGCCAGAGUCCUGACUGCUAAUGUGAGACAAAUUUUUGAGCAGGUAAAGGUUGCCUCCUAAGGUGACCUGCCUACUUUGCAGGAUGCCUGGGUGAGACAGUCUGCCCG
Small nuclear RNA from Phodopus roborovskii (desert hamster), 151 nucleotides. RefSeq annotates it as U12 minor spliceosomal RNA. The transcript has a single exon. NCBI's taxonomy places the organism in Eukaryota, Metazoa, Chordata, Mammalia, Rodentia, Cricetidae. The record is from RefSeq and is a predicted model, not a curated record.